Molecule: ribosomal RNA, 253 nt
Filed under: uncultured bacterium
Lineage: Bacteria
Description: partial 16S ribosomal RNA
Rfam family: Bacterial small subunit ribosomal RNA
Source: RNAcentral
UACGUAGGGUGCAAGCGUUGUCCGGAAUUAUUGGGCGUAAAGAGCUCGUAGGCGGUUCGUCGCGUCGGCUGUGAAAUCCCGAGGCUCAACCUCGGGUCUGCAGUCGAUACGGGCGGACUGGAGUACUGCAGGGGAGACUGGAAUUCCUGGUGUAGCGGUGAAAUGCGCAGAUAUCAGGAGGAACACCGGUGGCGAAGGCGGCAUCCUGGACCAACACUGACGCUGAUGAGCGAAAGCCAGGGGAGCAAACGGG